UGAGGAAUAUUGGUCAAUGGGCGAGAGCCUGAACCAGCCAAGUCGCGUGAGGGAUGACGGCCCUACGGGUUGUAAACCUCUUUUAUAAGGGAAUAAAGGACAUCACGUGUGGUGUUUUGCAUGUACCUUAUGAAUAAGCAUCGGCUAACUCCGUGCCAGCAGCCGCGGUAAUACGGAGGAUGCGAGCGUUAUCCGGAUUCAUUGGGUUUAAAGGGUGCGUAGGUUGCCGAUUAAGUCAGCGGUGAAAGUCAGUGGCUCAACCAUUGAACUGCCGUUGAAACUGGUUGGCUUGAGUACGUACGGGGCAGGCGGAAUGCGUGGUGUAGCGGUGAAAUGCGUAGAUAUCAGGAGGAACAUCAGUGGCGAAGGCGGCUUACUGGGCUUUAACUGACGCUGAGGCUCGAAAGC
Molecule: ribosomal RNA, 408 nt
Filed under: uncultured Parabacteroides sp.
Lineage: Bacteria; Pseudomonadati; Bacteroidota; Bacteroidia; Bacteroidales; Tannerellaceae
Description: bacterial SSU rRNA
Rfam family: Bacterial small subunit ribosomal RNA
Source: RNAcentral